RNAcentral lists this long non-coding RNA (217 nucleotides) under Vigna radiata. RNAcentral's name for it is "long non-coding RNA (VRAD_LNC011996)". Lineage: Eukaryota; Viridiplantae; Streptophyta; Magnoliopsida; Fabales; Fabaceae. The record is from RNAcentral.
GUACUUGUUAAGCUCAUGGUACCGUUUAGUCAAGUAAACGCUUCUUUAGCUUUUAUCUCUUUUUAGACAUAUAGCAUUUAACUUGUUUAACCUUUCUUUCACAUUAUAUCUUUUAAUAUGUUUUGUCAUAGACAUUGUCUUGACUUAUUUUGUUUUCGAGAGAACUUGAAUACCUAUUACAAGUAUUAUAAGCAUAGAACGUUUAACUCAAUCUCUC